RNAcentral lists this non-coding RNA (31 nucleotides) under Homo sapiens (human). The record is from RNAcentral. Lineage: Eukaryota; Metazoa; Chordata; Mammalia; Primates; Hominidae.
UUGGCAGCAGACCUAGCUUUCUUGGGGUGGC